This 69-nucleotide small RNA is filed under the name Sinorhizobium meliloti 2011. RNAcentral's name for it is "putative ncRNA". Lineage: Bacteria; Pseudomonadati; Pseudomonadota; Alphaproteobacteria; Hyphomicrobiales; Rhizobiaceae. The record is from RNAcentral.
GAAGAAGACCGCUUUUCUGCCGUCUCGGGCAGCGUCGAGCAACAGCUGAAGGCCGAGCGUGGUCUUGCC